UACGUAGGGUCCGAGCGUUGUCCGGAAUUACUGGGCGUAAAGCGCGUGUAGGUGGCGAUGUAAGUCGGGUGUGAAAUCCCUCAGCUUAACUGAGGAAGUGCACUCGAUACUGUGUCGCUUGAGUGUUGGAGGGGAUGGCGGAAUUCCCGGUGUAGAGGUGAAAUUCGUAGAUAUCGGGAGGAACACCUGUGGCGAAGGCGGCCAUCUGGACAACUACUGACACUGAGACGCGAAAGCGUGGGUAGCAAACAGG
This 253-nucleotide ribosomal RNA is filed under the name uncultured bacterium. RNAcentral's name for it is "partial 16S ribosomal RNA". It matches the Rfam family "Bacterial small subunit ribosomal RNA", at positions 524 to 776 of the family's 1533-position model. The record is from RNAcentral.